RNAcentral lists this ribosomal RNA (632 nucleotides) under Skeletonema menzelii. Its description in RNAcentral is "LSU rRNA". It matches the Rfam family "Eukaryotic large subunit ribosomal RNA", at positions 31 to 671 of the family's 3401-position model. Lineage: Eukaryota; Bacillariophyta; Thalassiosirophyceae; Thalassiosirales; Thalassiosiraceae. The record is from RNAcentral.
AAUUUAAGCAUAUAAUUAAGCGGAGGAAAAGAAACUAACAAGGAUUCCCCUAGUAACGGCGAGUGAAGCGGGAUGAGCUCACCAUGUGAAUCUGCGCAACCAGCAAUGGUGCGCCGAAUUGUGGUCUGAAGAAGUAUCGUCGACCGCGAACCCGGGCCAAGUCUCUUGGAAAAGGGCAGCUGAGAGGGUGAAACUCCCGUUCUUGCCUGGGUACGUUGUGUCAUAGCAUGAUCUUUCUAUGAGUCGAGUUGCUUGGGAUUGCAGCUCAAAUUUGGUGGUAAAUUCCAUCUAAAGCUAAAUAUUGGUGGGACACCGAUAGUGUACAAGUACCGUGAGGGAAAGAUGCAAAGAACUUUGAAAAGAGAGUUAAAGAGUACCUGAAAUUGUUAAAAGGGAAGCGAAGGAAUCCAGUGUAAAGCGAAGCCAUUCUUCUCAAGCCACUUGUGGUUUGGGCGCUGUGGUUAGCUGUACUAAUUCUGGGCUUGACCUGGGACAAACGUUUAGUAAGUAGACGACUCCUCGGAGUGAGUGCUUGCUCUUCAUGUUCUGGGUCGGGCUGAGGUCAGUCACUCUGUGCUCGUGAUGAAUUAGGAAAUGGAUUUCUUUACCCCGUCUUGAAACACGGACCAAGG